RNAcentral lists this ribosomal RNA (352 nucleotides) under uncultured bacterium. Its description in RNAcentral is "bacterial SSU rRNA". It matches the Rfam family "Bacterial small subunit ribosomal RNA", at positions 527 to 881 of the family's 1533-position model. The record is from RNAcentral.
GGAAGGUCCGGGCGUUAUCCGGAUUUAUUGGGUUUAAAGGGAGCGUAGGCCGGAGAUUAAGCGUGUUGUGAAAUGUAGAUGCUCAACAUCUGAACUGCAGCGCGAACUGGUUUCCUUGAGUACGCACAAGGUGGACGGAAUUCGUGGUGUAGCGGUGAAAUGCUUAGAUAUCACGAAGAACUCCGAUUGCGAAGGCAGCUCACUGGAGCGCNACUGACGCUGAAGCUCGANAGUGCGGGUAUUGAACAGGAUUAGAUACCCUGGUAGUCCGCACGGUAAACGAUGGAUGCCCGCUGUUUGCGAUAUACUGCAAGCGGCCNAGCGAAAGCGUUNAGUAUUCCACCUGGGGAGU